GGAAUCUUCCACAAUGGGCGCAAGCCUGAUGGAGCAACACCGCGUGAGUGAAGAAGGGUUUCCGCUCGUAAAGCUCUGUUGCUAGAGAAGAACGUGCGUGAGAGCAAUUGUUCACGCAGUGACGGUAUCUAACCAGAAAGCCACGGCUAACUACGUGCCAGCAGCCGCGGUAAUACGUAGGUGGCAAGCGUUGUCCGGAUUUAUUGGGCGUAAAGCGAGCGCAGGCGGUUUCUUAAGUCUGAUGUGAAAGCCCCCGGCUCAACCGGGGAGGGUCAUUGGAAACUGGGAGACUUGAGUGCAGAAGAGGAGAGUGGAAUUCCAUGUGUAGCGGUGAAAUGCGUAGAUAUAUGGAGGAACACCAGUGGCGAAGGCGGCUCUCUGGUCUGUAACUGACGCUGAGGCUCGAAAGCGUGGGGAGCAAACA
Molecule: ribosomal RNA, 424 nt
Filed under: uncultured bacterium
Lineage: Bacteria
Description: bacterial SSU rRNA
Rfam family: Bacterial small subunit ribosomal RNA
Source: RNAcentral